RNAcentral lists this ribosomal RNA (465 nucleotides) under uncultured bacterium. RNAcentral describes it as "partial 16S ribosomal RNA". It matches the Rfam family "Bacterial small subunit ribosomal RNA", at positions 28 to 507 of the family's 1533-position model. The record is from RNAcentral.
GACGAACGCUGGUGGCGUGCUUAACACAUGCAAGUCGAACGGAAAGGCCCUGCUUGCAGGGUACUCGAGUGGCGAACGGGUGAGUAACACGUGGGUGAUCUGCCCUGCACUUCGGGAUAAGCCUGGGAAACUGGGUCUAAUACCGGAUAGGAGCCAUUUUUAGUGUGAUGGUUGGAAAGUUUUUUCGGUGUAGGAUGAGCUCGCGGCCUAUCAGCUUGUUGGUGGGGUAAUGGCCUACCAAGGCGGCGACGGGUAGCCGGCCUGAGAGGGUGGACGGCCACAUUGGGACUGAGAUACGGCCCAGACUCCUACGGGAGGCAGCAGUGGGGAAUAUUGCACAAUGGGCGCAAGCCUGAUGCAGCGACGCCGCGUGGGGGAUGACGGCCUUCGGGUUGUAAACUCCUUUCGCUAGGGACGAAGCUUUUUGUGACGGUACCUAGAUAAGAAGCACCGGCUAACUACGUG